AAAAUCCGUUGGCUUUAUUGACCGUGAGGGUUCAAGUCCCUCUACCCCCACA
This 52-nucleotide transfer RNA is filed under the name Bartramia patens. RNAcentral describes it as "partial tRNA-Leu". RNAcentral also lists the same sequence under 1 other name. The record is from RNAcentral. Lineage: Eukaryota; Viridiplantae; Streptophyta; Bryopsida; Bartramiales; Bartramiaceae.